CCUACGGGAGGCAGCAGUGGGGAAUAUUGGGCAAUGGGCGCAAGCCUGACCCAGCAACGCCGCGUGAAGGAAGACGGCUUUAGGGUUGUAAACUUCUUUUUUCAGGGACGUGGCAAGUGACGGUACCUGACGAAUAAGCCACGGCUAACUACGUGCCCGCAGCCGCGGUAAUACGUAGGUGGCAAGCGUUAUCAGGAUUUGUUGGGUGUAAAGGGCGUGUAGGCGGGAAUGCAAGUCAGAUGUGAAAACUAUGGGCUCAACCCAUAGCCUGCAUUUGAAACUGUAUUUCUUGAGUGCUGGAGAGGCAGUCGGAAUUCCGGGUGUAGCGGUGAAAUGCGUAGAUAUACGGAGGAACACC
Molecule: ribosomal RNA, 358 nt
Filed under: uncultured bacterium
Lineage: Bacteria
Description: partial 16S ribosomal RNA
Rfam family: Bacterial small subunit ribosomal RNA
Source: RNAcentral